Non-coding RNA from Erinaceus europaeus (western European hedgehog), 82 nucleotides. The record is from Rfam. Lineage: Eukaryota; Metazoa; Chordata; Mammalia; Eulipotyphla; Erinaceidae.
AUGGAGACAUGGCUUAAAACCAGAGAAAGUGAGAGACAUUAACUCUGUAGGUUAUAACUUGAACUAAUUUGCAUCUCAUUUU